This 243-nucleotide ribosomal RNA is filed under the name uncultured bacterium. RNAcentral's name for it is "partial 16S ribosomal RNA". It matches the Rfam family "Bacterial small subunit ribosomal RNA", at positions 57 to 305 of the family's 1533-position model. The record is from RNAcentral.
GCAAGUCGAGCGAGAAAGCACUUCGGUGCGAGUAGAGCGGCGGACGGGUGAGUAACGCGCAGGAAUCUACCCAGUGGUGGGGGACAACUUGGGGAAACUCAAGCUAAUACCGCAUACGCCCUACGGGGGAAAGCGGGGGACCUUCGGGCCUCGCGCCAUUGGAUGAGCCUGCGUUGGAUUAGCUAGUUGGUGGGGUAAAGGCCUACCAAGGCAUCGAUCAGUAGCUGGUCUGAGAGGAUGAUC